RNAcentral lists this ribosomal RNA (468 nucleotides) under uncultured bacterium. RNAcentral describes it as "partial 16S ribosomal RNA". It matches the Rfam family "Bacterial small subunit ribosomal RNA", at positions 28 to 507 of the family's 1533-position model. The record is from RNAcentral.
GACGAACGAUGGAGGAGGGGGGAACACAGGCAAGUCGAACGGAAAGGCCCUGCUUUUGUGGGGUGCUCGAGUGGCGAACGGGUGAGUAACACGUGAGUAACCUGCCCUUGACUUUGGGAUAACUUCAGGAAACUGGGGCUAAUACCGGAUAGGAGCUCCUGCUGCAUGGUGGGGGUUGGAAAGUUUCGGCGGUUGGGGAUGGACUCGCGGCUUAUCAGCUUGUUGGUGGGGUAGUGGCUUACCAAGGCUUUGACGGGUAGCCGGCCUGAGAAGGUGACCGGCCACAUUGGGACUGAGAUACGGCCCAGACUCCUACGGGAGGCAGCAGUGGGGAAUAUUGCACAAUGGGCGGAAGCCUGAUGCAGCAACGCCGCGUGCGGGAUGACGGCCUUCGGGUUGUAAACCGCUUUCGCCUGUGACGAAGCGUGAGUGACGGUAAUGGGUAAAGAAGCACCGGCUAACUACGUG